Non-coding RNA from Camelina sativa (false flax), 96 nucleotides. NCBI's taxonomy places the organism in Eukaryota, Viridiplantae, Streptophyta, Magnoliopsida, Brassicales, Brassicaceae. The record is from RefSeq and is a predicted model, not a curated record.
AAGUUAUUGGACCCGUUCGUGUUGCUAGUUGAUUUUUCCUUUUCACUCUCAGCUGGAUUCCCAGAUCAUCCUCACAGAGGUUUUGAGAGUGUUACA